Molecule: ribosomal RNA, 795 nt
Filed under: Triticum aestivum (bread wheat)
Lineage: Eukaryota; Viridiplantae; Streptophyta; Magnoliopsida; Poales; Poaceae
Description: partial small subunit ribosomal RNA
Source: RNAcentral
AUGGGAUUCCUCCACAAAACCUCCAAGCAGACAGCGAAGCUCAAGUCCCUCCUGGGGCUCGCCGUCUCCCGCAUCGCCGUCGCCCGCCAGCCGCGCCUUGCUCGCAGGUCCAUCGCCUGCAGCGAUGUCAGCCAGCUCCUCGUCCUCGGCCACCUUGACCGCGCCCUCCACCGCGCAGAGCAGGUUAUCCAGGAGGACAACAUGCUGGAGGCGUUCGGCAUCAUAGAGCUCUACUGCAAGCGCCUCAUCGAGCAGGCUGAGCAGUUAGACAAGCCGGAGGAGUGCGGCGAGGAGCUACGGGAAGCGGCGGCCAGCAUCAUGUUCGCCGCCGGGUGGUGCGGCGACCUGCAGGAGCUGCUGUUUGCCCGUACCAUCCUCGCAGACAAGUUCGGCGGCGACUUUGCUGUCGCGGCCAAGGAGGGCACCGGCAUCGUCGAUCCCAUCUUGGUCUGGAAGCUGUCCGGAAACACAACGAGCAUGGAACUGAAGAAGAAAUUGACAAAAGAGAUCGCCGCCGAGAACAACAUCUUGGUGGACUUCUCUGAGCUUCCAGAAGCAACGGAGGAUGGCAACAACAAUGUUCCAGACAGUCAGGAGCUCCUCGGCCAAAUGUCAUGCCAGGACGACAUGGAUGAAGGUUCAGAGUCGGACAAUGAACAUCCUCGCUCACACGGAACAAACACACCCGGGCUGGAGAGCGACGAGAAUGUGCACAUCGUUACCAAUUCUGACGGAUCAGAUGAUGAGGUUACAGGCCGGCGUAACCGAAGGUGGUGGCGCCUUGGGUGCGCAUGA